Long non-coding RNA from Xiphias gladius (swordfish), 697 nucleotides. RefSeq lists it as uncharacterized. The record is from RefSeq and is a predicted model, not a curated record. The transcript is spliced from 3 exons. Lineage: Eukaryota; Metazoa; Chordata; Actinopteri; Istiophoriformes; Xiphiidae.
AAGAGAAGGGACAAGACGAGAAAAGAAAAGACGUUAAAAAAGAAGAGAAAAUGAAAUGAGGAGAAACAGCAGAAGAAGAGAGGGGAGGAGGCAGGAGGGCAACAUGACGUGUGAACUCCCUCUUGUAAAGAGAGAGAAGAGGAGAAACGAUCAAAGAGAAGGGACAAGACGAGAAAAGAAAAGACGUUAAAAAAGAAGAGAAAAUGAAAUGAGGAGAAACAACAGAAGAAGAGAGGGGAGGAGGGGAGAGGAGCAAUAUGACGUGUGAAAGCUCUCAUGUAAAAGUCAAGGGAACCCUGAACUGCCACUUGAUCAACUACAAGUCAACCAGAUUUCUACAGAGACCUUUGCUGUGAUCAAACAGUGCAAACAAAGCCUUUUAAAUACUGAGUGAUAACAGGAAGAAACAUCUCAGUUUGGACUCUGUUGUUCCUGUUUUACCAGCAGGUUUUACUUUUGCAAUCAAAGUGUGUUUUCAUAUUGUUAUAGGCUACUAUUAUUUCAAGUACAGAGCAGGCCUGUGACAAUGCACAAGAGGCGCAAACCAUUUCCAAAUUUCAGCUUCAGUGAGGUGAUUGCAUGAAGUGGGGAAAAUGAUGUGACCCUAAAUAAAACCCCUUCAAAGCAUCUGAAUUAACUCUGGGUUGUUUGUGGUGUGGUGCUUGAUUAUUCUGUCCUCCUCUGUCUCCUAACAUGC